Long non-coding RNA from Zingiber officinale, 3329 nucleotides. RefSeq lists it as uncharacterized. The record is from RefSeq and is a predicted model, not a curated record. The transcript has 10 exons. Lineage: Eukaryota; Viridiplantae; Streptophyta; Magnoliopsida; Zingiberales; Zingiberaceae.
UAAAAUAUUUUAAUUUUUCCACCAAUACUUAACCAAAAUUUGCAACAUUUCAUUCUUCCCUUCAAACCUAAACCUAUAUCGCGCCGUCCGUAUACCGUCACAACUCCACCACCACUUUCCUCCUCGCCGCUGGGCAUCCAGCCAUCUCUCUCAGCCUCAUCUCCCUCUUCCCCUUCCUCAUCUCUCUCAACCAUCUCUUAGCCUCAUUUCAACACACGGCUUUCUGCCUUUUCUAGCUUGCCCACAAAUCCGGCCAAACCCUCACACGAAUAACCCCCGAGUCCUCAGCUGCUGGAGCAUUCACAGACGUAGGGAAUGGAGAUUGUUCGAUCACAGGGAAUCGACUCAUGCUGUCGCCUCGACAACGUCGGCUAAACUCUCUUUCUACCGCUCCGCGCCUACGCUCGAGGUUCGGCUGGAAGAUUUUGAACUCUACGGCAUAGAUCGCCUCCGAGGUACCUUGCAAAACCUCAUCUUUUCCCAUUUCUAAGGUUUGUGGUUCGUUGUAUACUCCCUCGAGGUCUGGCUGGAAGAUUUUGAACUCUACGCCAUAGAUUGCCUCCGAGGUACCUUGCAAAACCUCAUCUUUUCCCAUUUCUAGGGUUUGUAGUUCGUUGUCUACUCCCUCGAGGUCCGGAUGGAAGAUUUUGAACUCUAUGCCAUAGAUCGCCUCCGAGGUACCUUGCAAAACCUCAUCUUUUCCCAUUUCUAGGGUUUGUGGUUCGUUGUAUACCUCCCCUUCCUUGAUCAACUUCCCUAUCCUGCGUCUGUUUGGCUUUGCUGAGUAAUCGGAGAAGAGCUCAAGAAGCUUUGAGUAGUUGAAGGAUAACUUAGGGAACUUCUGCACAUUUGGAGGGGAGAGUUCAGGGAGCUCUGUGUAAUACCCCACUUGUUCACCACCUGUUCAGGGAGCUCUGUGUAACUUAGGGAUCACAUUCCUCUAAUACCACCUGUUCACCACUUGCUACAACUUAUUGUCUCAGACCAUGUAGAUAUUAUCUUGUGCUUUAAAAAUGUAGAAUUACCUCCACCACAUGUCCAUGUUGUGGGAUCUUCAUCUCUUAAGGUUGAAUAACACAAUCACAGUAAAAGGAACAAAAUCAAUUUAAUAUGGUUCGAAGUAAGCUCACAACAUUUGAAGCCAGAUUCGUUCCAAGUGUGAUUGUGUUCUUGGUUAUUAUCAUAAACUCCUUUUAGUCUAUGAAAACCAUUUGUUGUCGUUGUCUCUCCACAUUUGCUCAUUUUCUCUCAAUAUUAAGUCUUAGAUGUUGGAAUCCUGAUUUAUUUAUUUCAUUUGGCAACAUCUCACAAGUUAUGAUUUCAUCCUCAACAACAACAACAACAACCAAACCUUAUCCCACUAGGGCUAUUAUCAUUUCAUCCUCACAAAUUUCAAAAUCCACAAUUCAUUAAAUUUGAAGGGAAGUAAAAGGAAGAAGAUCGCCAUAAACCUCAACCAAUCAUCAAUGCAAGGUUGUUGUGCUAGUUUUGGCAUUUUCAUUUUCAUUGUUAUCAUGUCUCAGUUCAUUUUAUCUUUUUCUUCUGUGAGAUCUUGUUUAAUUUACAUAAUAAGCUGGAUAUAGAUACAAUUUAUAUUAUAGCUUGAGGAGGAGGACUGUGUGACAUAAUAUAAUUUUUCAUUCCUCUCAAUAGUUGGUUAAUCCUACUUGGACAAGUUCACACUCAGGCCUUAAAGCAUCUAGACCAAUUGAUCAUGACUUAAUUACAUGUGGUUUUUCAUUGGAAUCUAUUAACCACCUACUCAUCAACUCUUAUUGCUUCUCAAGGAUUGAACACACUUAAGGAUGUCAGAAUGAUCUAUCAAAUGCAUCUAAUUUUAGUGUAAGAUUAUGAUUUAUCAUGCUACACAUUUUCUUUUGAACCUUUGACUUAUCAUUUCUAGAUUUUUAAAGGCACGAGGGUUCAAUAUUGAAAAAGCUACUCAUAUGUGGUCUGAGAUGCUCCAGUGGAGGAUCAACUUUGGUGAUGAUACUAUCAUUCAUGAUUUUGUAUUUGAUGAACUCGACGAAGUCCUCCAUUAUUAAGAUUUUGAACUCUACGCCAUAGAUCGCCUCCGAGUCCUACAGGGUAUUUCAGAUGGUUUGCCUCGAGGAAAAAGGCCCGAAGAAAUGGAGAGAUUGGUAACUGAACUAUGGAGGGCACAUAUGAGGCAUCAAGAUCCAUCAGAGGUCAUGAACAAAGAUAUCAUUUCACACUUCGUUCUUCGUCUUGCAUAUUGUAGAAUGGAUGAAUUAAGGAAAUGGUUUCUUUCCAUGGAGACUUCUCUUUUCCGCUAUCGAUUCCGACUAGAAAGCCCUGAGUCAUAGAGGUCACUCAUGUCUGAAUUUCAGCUACCCUAUAAGGCUAUUAGUCAUGCAGAAUUCGAGGCACCCUUUGAAGAAGUGCCAGAAUUAUUUGUUGGCUGCAGGGUUUUCCUAAAAAAGGUUUUGCUUAUGUUGCGAUGCAUCAGAUGUGCAGUAACAUUUGAUAAAUGAUCUAAUAUCCCGCCUUGUGAGGGAGCAAGCAGUUCGUCUGAUCAAGCAAAUAGGAGACAACAUUGUAUCUUUGAUGUUGAUCAGAUUUUUGUCCAAGAAGUUUCAGAGUUUUGAUCCCAAAUGACUCACUAACAUCUAUUAACCAGUUUUUUUAUGUUACUCAAAAUACCAUGCAUUCUCACAAGCAGCUAAUCGGUUUAUAGUUCUCACUUCAAUAAAUGUGUUCCUGAAAUAAAAGACAAUAGUACCAACACUGCAAAGAGAGGGGGGCUUCCGGCUCCAUCGACAAGAUGCAGAGUGGAUGUCUUUUUUUCACCCUGAUUGUUUCUGUUUAAAUUUUGUAUAUGUUUCUCGCAUAGAUUUCAUUUCUAGGUAAAGUUAGCCAGUAGCUUGACGUUACCAUAAUGCUCUCAUUUUCAUCAUGAUGAUAUGUUAAUCUUAUUUUUGCAUUGAAUUCUAUUCAAGACUAUUGUCACUUCUAAUGCUACAUAAUAAAACAGAACGCCAAUCAAGUGAUAUAAUAUCGAUAGGCAUUUGGUUAAUCUUUUUUGGUUGACUAAUGUACCAUGAUUGAUUAUUUUCUAGGCAGUAGAUUCUAGUGGAAUUGCAGCAAAGGCAGGACUUAGGGUUGGAGACCAAGUAUUGUACACAAGCAGCUUCUUUGGGGAUGAGUUGUGGCUUGUUGAUAAGCUGGGUUUUACCAAAACAGUUAUCCAAGCAAAGCCAGACUCUGUUUAUUUUAUAGUAAACAGGGGAGCAGAGGUAGAUGUAAAAAGACUAACUAAGAGGCCUGCUCCUCCUCGAUUUGGUCGCACCUUGAUUGAAGCACAAAAG